CAAUAGCGUAUAUUAAAGCUGUUGCGGUUAAAAAGCUCGUAGUUGGAUUUCUGUCAAGGACAACUGGUCCGCCCUCCGGGUGAGCACAUAGUUUGGUCUUGGCAUCUUGCUGGAAGCUGUUGCUGCACUUGGCUGUGUGGCGCAGCGUCCAGCAUUUUCACUUUGAGGAAAUUGGAGUGUUUCAAGCAGGCACAUGCCUUUGGACACAGUAGCAUGGAAUAAUUAGAUUGGGCUUUUGCUCCAAUUUGUCGGUUUCUGGAGCUGAGGUGAGAAUUAAUGGGGAUUGUUGGGGGCAUCCGAAUUUAGCCGUCAGAGGUGAAAUUCUUGGAUCUGCUAAAGACGGACAACUGCGAAAGCGUUUGCCCAGGAUGUUUUCAUUGA
RNAcentral lists this ribosomal RNA (381 nucleotides) under uncultured eukaryote. Its description in RNAcentral is "partial 18S ribosomal RNA". It matches the Rfam family "Eukaryotic small subunit ribosomal RNA", at positions 592 to 976 of the family's 1831-position model. The record is from RNAcentral.